RNA transcript from Eriocheir sinensis (Chinese mitten crab), 4597 nucleotides. It is a transcript of the gene named bromodomain-containing protein 7-like, with no coding region annotated. The transcript has 15 exons. NCBI's taxonomy places the organism in Eukaryota, Metazoa, Arthropoda, Malacostraca, Decapoda, Varunidae. The record is from RefSeq and is a predicted model, not a curated record.
GCUUCACCAUGGAGAAGACGCCCCUCAAACUCAAGCUGAAACUGGGCGGCAGCGGCCCGGCCACGCCCGAACAGCAGUCGAAGGGCUGUUCCCCCGCACACCCAACCAUCAUCUCCAACAUGGCUGACGAGGACGCCGCCCAUCCCACCCCGGCCGCCGCCUCGGAUGAUGACGGCGAGGAGGAGGAGCCGACGGAGGAGGUCCAGGGGGAAGAUGAACACCAGGCAGAGGACGAGAGCCCCAAGGUCCGCUCACGACACCACCACGAUGAAGGGUCAAGGGAGAAGCACAAGAAAUCCAAGAAGAAGAAGAAGAAGAAGGAGAGAGAGAAGGAUAAGGAGAGACACAAACAUCGUCAUCACCGCGAAAAAACGGAGGUUGUGGGCGAGGAGCCGGUUGUGGAGGAGCAGCCGCCCCCCGCCAAGAAGCCUCACCUGGACGCAGCGGUGACGGCCCCCAGCAGAUCCUCCCCCGUGCCUGAGCCCACCCUGACUCCACACAAGGACAAGGAAGCAUCCUCGGCGCUGACGCAACUAUUGGAACACCUGCUGGGCCUGCUGGAAAAGAGGGACCCACAGCAGUUUUUCGCCUGGCCCGUGACAGACGCCAUCGCCCCUGGGUACUCGUCCAUCAUCUCCCAGCCUAUGGACUUCUCCUCCAUGAAGACCAAGAUUCAGGAGGGCGCGUACACCAACCUCAAGCAGUUCCAGGCUGACUUUGACCUGAUGUGUAACAACUGUAUGACCUAUAACCAGCCAGACACCAUCUACUACAAGGCGGCCAAGAAGCUGUUACACGCUGGGCAGAAGAUGAUGACCCCUGACAAGGUCCUGCACCUCAAGCGUGACGUUCCCCUCAUGACCCUGCUCACCAAGGACCAGCUUGGCUUUGAGGUGUCAGCGUCCUCAGCCGGGGGAGGCACAGAGGGAGACGACACUCUUGACAUGGAGCCCCUGGAGUCCAUGGACGAAGAUGGGGACAGCAAGGAUCCCCACUGCAAGUUUGAAGCAGUGCAGGACAACCUGAGUGCAGAGGAGCUGCUGGAACAGGUGCAGGGGGCCGCCAGCGAGGCAGCAGAGAAACUAACCCUCAAGAGGCCAUCAAGCACGCUUGGGUUCCUGAGGCAGCGAGGGGAUGGCACUACCUCCCUGAGUUUCCUGACAGGCUGUGAAGGCGCUGGGGACCCCAAUUCUAAAGAAAAGCCUGUGAGUCUCGGCCUGCUGACAGGGAAGAUCACACAGGGCUCCGCCACCCUCCACAACUAUCGAGAGGACAAACGGAGUCUUGCCAAGCCCAUUAAGCCGGUGUACUAUGGGUCUUACUCCUCCUUCUGCCCAACCUACGACUCGACCUUUGCCAAUCUCAGCAAAGAGGAGAGCGAGAUGGUGUACGCUACUUAUGGAAACGAGACUGCCGUGCAAUAUGCCAAGAGCAUCGUGGACUUCUCCCAGGACUGCGAUAUGGCCAUGCAUUUAGUGGACCAGCUCCUCAACCUUCUGACACACCAGCAGCACAGCCGGACCACCACGGCCAUCACCAACCGACGACGCCUGGAGGAAGAGGAGGAGCGGAUCUCUGCCCUGCUCUGCCCCCCAAGUGAGGCGGGAGGUCAGGCAGGAGCCCAGGACCAGAAACCCAACCCAAACAUAGACUUUGGGGCGCUGAAGAGCCUCAACGAGCUGGGGAUCGACACAUCCUUCAUCAGUCACUUUGAGGACCAGGAAAAAUGUGACACCCAAAUCAACUCCCAGCUUGAGGAAAACGCAACUCUCCUUGAGCAACUGUCCCAGGAGCAACACGAACGCCUCUCCCGCCCGCUGCCGGCCUCCCUCAACAACUUGCCACCUCCAUCCCAGCAGGAACUCCAGCUGGUGGAGAAAGUGACUGAUGGACUGACCCAGGUGGCCAAGCAGGCUUCCCCUGGCUCCCUGGCACCUGUCCCCAUUGUGCGUCGGGCCAUGGGCAUCACUGUCCUGCCAGUAACCUCUGAUCCAGCCAACAGUAGUAUUGAGGUAUGAGGUGCGAGGUGCCAUCCAAUGUGGUGAUGGUGAGAGAAGCUUCUGAGGUGACGGUGGAGCCAAAUUGUGGUGCUUUGAGGAAAGUUUUGUAACCGUAGUGAAGUGUUUGCUGGCUUGUCCGUUGGGUGGCAAGUUGUAAGGCUGUGUCGUGGGCAUUCAGUAGUUCUGCCAUGAUGGUGGAGGCCGCGAUGGCAUGUAUAUCCAUGACCUGAUUUAAGGAAUCUGUUAUUGGUAAUGAUUUUAAGAUUGCAACUACUCCAGAAAGUGAAAAAUUGGAGAUAAUGCCGAACAAGUCUUGGUAAAGAGACGAUGAUUGUGAAUGUAAUAUUUAUGUUAGCGAUGAAGUGUUCUGUUGGUGCACGGGGGCAGGGUUACCAAAUUAUCGGAUUCGGACAUUCAGUACAUCAUAUUUUCCGGUUUCCGAGUCACGGCUAUCGCAAACACGCCAAUGAGUAACGCUUUUAACGAGAACUUUACCUGGAAUUUCGUUAUCUGUGUGGGUAGGAAAGAUUUGGGCCCUGAAACUGAUGAACGCGAUGUUUAGAAUUUCGUUAUCUGUGUGGGCAGGAAAGAUUUGGGCCCUGAAACUGAUGAAUGCUGUGUGGGCAGGAAAGAUUUGGGCCCUGAAACUGAUAAAUGCGAUGUUUAGAAUUUCGUUAUCUGUGUGGGCAGGAAAGAUUUGGGCCCUGAAACUGAUGAAUGCGAUGUUUAGAAUUUCGUUAUCUGUGUGGGCAGGAAAGAUUUGGGCCCUGAAACUGAUGAACGCGAUGUUUAGAAUUUCGUUAUCUGUGUGGGCAGGAAAGAUUUGGGCCCUGAAACUGAUAAAUGCGAUGUUUAGAAUUUCGUUAUCUGUGUGGGCAGGAAAGAUUUGGGCCCUGAAACUGAUGAACGCGAUGUUUAGAAUUUCGUUAUCUGUGUGGGCAGGAAAGAUUUGGGCCCUGAAACUGAUGAACGCGAUGUUUAGAAUUUCGUUAUCUGUGUGGGCAGGAAAGAUUUGGGCCCUGAAACUGAUAGAUGCUAUGUUUAGAAUUUCGUUAUCUGUGUGGGUAGGAAAGAUUUGGGCCCUGAAACUGAUCAAUGCGAUGUUUAGAAUUUUGUUAUCUGUGUGGGCAGGAAAGAUUUGGGCCCUGAAACUGAUAGAUGCGAUGUUUAGAAUUUCGUUAUCUGUGUGGGCAGGAAAGAUUUGGGCCCUGAAACUGAUAAAUGCGAUGUUUAGAAUUUCGUUAUCUGUGUGGGCAGGAAAGAUUUGGGCCCUGAAACUGAUAAAUGCGAUGUUUAGAAUUUCGUUAUCUGUGUGGGCAGGAAAGAUUUGGGCCCUGAAACUGAUAAAAGCGAUGUUUAGAAUUUCGUUAUCUGUGUGGGCAGGAAAGAUUUGGGCCCUGAAACUGAUAAAAGCGAUGUUUUGAAUUUCGUUAUCUGUGUGGGCAUGAAAGAUUUGGGCCCUGAAACUGAUGAACGCGAUGUUUAGAAUUUCGUUAUCUGUGUGGGUAGGAAAGAUUUGGGCCCUGAAACUGAUAGAUGCGAUGUUUAGAAUUUCGUUAUCUGUGUGGGCAGGAAAGAUUUGGGCCCUGAAACUGAUAAAUGCGAUGUUUUGAGUACGAUAAUUUGGAAACCCUGGCACUGGGGCAUCAAGUGUUGUAGUGGUAUGUGCUGUGCAGUAUAUUGGCCGUCACUAAGGUGUUGAAGACAGGCUCGCUGGUGGAAACAGAGGUUGGUAUUGUCAGAUGCCCGCACACCUACUAUUCCAAAGGCAAAAAAGGAGUUUAAUCGAGUUUUAAUGAGUGUUCUUUUAGGUUCACGGUACAGAAGAAGGCUCAGACUACCACCAGGGUCAUAAGAGUACCCCUGGAAAUGCCCUAAACUCCCACGAAAGACUAGUAAAUUACGUGUUCUUGGUUCUAAUGAGUGUUCUGUUAGGUUCACGGUACAGAAGAAGGCUCGGACUACCACCAGGGUCAUAAGAGUACCCCUGGAAAUGCCCACAACCCCCAUGAAAGACUAGUAAAUUACGUGUUCUUGGGCAACGAAAUGUCUUUUAAUACGACCCUAAAAUAAGGUUGGUAGGUAUUGUCAAAUGUGUUCGUUCUUUCGAGUUCUCGAGUUCUAAUGAGUGUUCUUUUAGGUUCACGGUACAGAAGAAGGCUCAGACUACCACCAGGGUCAUAAGAGUACCCCUGGAAAUGCCCACAACCCCCACGAAAGUCUAGUAAAUUACGUGUUCUUGGGCGCAGAAAUGUUUAAAAAUGUGGCUUUGAGAGAAUGUUUAUGGUGAUGGUGGAGGCAUUUUAGGACAGGAAUGCCACCGAGAGAAAGCCCUGUUCUCUGUUUACACCUUUCCUUAGUUUAUGAUUUUGCAUUUUCCUGCCUUAAUUUCACCACUCCUCCCUCCCUCCCUGUGCACUGUCUUGCCUCAGUGAGAAAGGACUUUACUGUAACACCCAGGUUGACAUUGAGGCCAGAUGGGGGCAGGACAAGACCAUCUCCACCACAGUUCCUCCCCAGCCCACCACCACAGCAGUGCAGCAGGUCACUGGCACAGCUCCACAGCAGAAGCAGCUGGAGCCACAAACAGCAACCAC